RNAcentral lists this ribosomal RNA (332 nucleotides) under uncultured Acidobacteriaceae bacterium. Its description in RNAcentral is "bacterial SSU rRNA". It matches the Rfam family "Bacterial small subunit ribosomal RNA", at positions 568 to 898 of the family's 1533-position model. Lineage: Bacteria; Pseudomonadati; Acidobacteriota; Terriglobia; Terriglobales; Acidobacteriaceae. The record is from RNAcentral.
UGCGUAGGCGGUUUGCUAAGUUGGAUGUGAAAACUCUGGGCUUAACCCAGAGCCUGCAUUCAAAACUGACAAGCUAGAGUUCUGGAGGGGGUAGCGGAAUUCCUGGUGUAGCGGUGAAAUGCGUAGAUAUCAGGAGGAACACCGGUGGCGAAGGCGGCUACCUGGACAGAAACUGACGCUGAGGCACGAAAGCUAGGGGAGCAAACAGGAUUAGAUACCCUGGUAGUCCUAGCCCUAAACGAUGGAUACUUGGUGUGACGGGGAUUGAAUCCCGUCGUGCCGAAGCUAACGCAUUAAGUAUCCCGCCUGGGGAGUACGGUCGCAAGGCUGAA